CCUACGGGAGGCAGCAGUGAGGAAUAUUGGUCAAUGGGCGUACGCCUGAACCAGCCAAGUCGCGUGAGGGAAGACUGCCCUAUGGGUUGUAAACCUCUUUUGUCAGGGAGCAACGCCGGCUACGUGUAGCCGGACUGAGAGUACCUGAAGAAAAAGCAUGGGCUAACUCCGUACCAGCAGCCGCGGUAAUACGGAGGAUGCGACCGUUAUCCGGAUUUAUUGGGUUUAAAGGGUGCGUAGGCGGACUGCCAAGUCAGUGGUAAAAUCGCGGGCCUAAACCUGGCUCCGCAGUUGAUACUGGCGAUCUUGAGUGGGCGAGAGGUAUGCGGAAUGCGUGGUGUAGCGGUGAAAUGCGUAGAGA
Molecule: ribosomal RNA, 361 nt
Filed under: uncultured bacterium
Lineage: Bacteria
Description: partial 16S ribosomal RNA
Rfam family: Bacterial small subunit ribosomal RNA
Source: RNAcentral